CCCCUAGUAACGGCGAGUGAAGAGGGAAAAGCCCAGCACCGAAGCCUGCGGCAGUUUUGCUGUUAGGCAAUGUGGUGUUUAGGUCGGCUCGCGGGACUGCUGCUCCAUUCUAAGUCCAGCUUUGAGUAUGGCUUCUGGACUUGGCCCACAGAGGGUGAAAGGCCCGUUCGAAUGGAGGAUAAGAGAAGUGAGUAGUCCACUAUGCCGGCCUUCGAGUCGGGUUGUUUGAGAAUGCAGCCCAAAGAGGGUGGUAGACUCCAUCCAAGGCUAAAUACUAGCACGAGUCCGAUAGCGAACAAGUACCGUGAGGGAAAGUUGAAAAGUACUUUGAAGAGAGAGUAAACAGUACGUGAAACCGCAUAGAGGUAAACGGGUGGCGUCAAGCUGCACGCUUAGAGGAUUCAGUCGGUCAGGAUGUUGUGUAUGCGCCUGGCGCAUCUAUCAGUCGGAGUGAGAUAAAGUAGUCCGUUGGGUAACAGCGGGCCCGGCCGAAAGGCUGGGAUUUGUAUUCCGUGUUAUGUGCGGAGCUUGCUACUUGUCUAUGGACUGCCUGGCCGAUGCAUUUUCUCUGUGGCGAACACCACGACCGGUGGUACUGCCAGUCUGCUGUGGUAAAGUCGGGUUCAGUCGGCCUUGUGUUGGUUGAGCUUGAUCAUAGGCAAGCGGUGUGCGGGUGCGUACGUACUUGUACACCGCUUUGUCAACGGGUCUGUUUGCUGACGAUUGUAGUAGUUGGCGAAUGGCCUGGUGGACCAUGGUGGUAAGAAUAACUGUGCAGGGCACCGGUGAUUUCGGUCUCUAAUUUGGCUCGCUCACACACUACAAGUGGGUGUGGGUCGUCGUUGCAGUCUGCCUGUGAUUGGGUUUGAUUGUCGUGUUGCCUGCGCAAAGUAGGUCCGGCAGUAGCCUGAUUUUGGAUGGUAUUGCUAGCGGCGUCUCUUCUGCGGGCUGAUGAGGGCCU
Molecule: ribosomal RNA, 961 nt
Filed under: Neobothriocephalus aspinosus
Lineage: Eukaryota; Metazoa; Platyhelminthes; Cestoda; Bothriocephalidea; Echinophallidae
Description: eukaryotic LSU rRNA
Rfam family: Eukaryotic large subunit ribosomal RNA
Source: RNAcentral